Brassica rapa (field mustard) is the source of this 429-nucleotide long non-coding RNA. RefSeq lists it as uncharacterized. The record is from RefSeq and is a predicted model, not a curated record. Lineage: Eukaryota; Viridiplantae; Streptophyta; Magnoliopsida; Brassicales; Brassicaceae.
UUCUUGUUAUCCUAUUUUCUAAUUCACAAUCCCAAAUCUAAAAUAUUUCUCUAUAAAAAUGAAAACUUUCCAGAAAUAGAAUUUAUGAGAAUUUUAUUUUAAAAAUACAACCUAUCACCCAAAAAAUCUAAAACAAUACUCAUAUAUCAACAAAAAUUCUUGUUAUCCUAAUUUCUAAAUCACAAUCCCAAAGGUAUAAUGUUUCUCUAUAAAAUUGACAACUUUCCUAAAAUAGAAUUUUUAAAAAUUUUAUUUAUAAAAUACCACGUAUUGAUAAAAAAAUCUAAAACAAUACUCAUCAAUCAACAAAAAUUCUUGUUAUCCUAUUUUCUAAUUCACAAUCCCAAAUCUAAAAUAUUUCUCUAUAAAAAUGAAAACUUUCCAAAAAUAGAAUUUUUGAGAAUUUAAUUUGAAAAAUACAACCUAUCA